This 439-nucleotide ribosomal RNA is filed under the name Ammonia sp. genotype T6. RNAcentral's name for it is "SSU rRNA". It matches the Rfam family "Eukaryotic small subunit ribosomal RNA", at positions 1176 to 1463 of the family's 1831-position model. Lineage: Eukaryota; Foraminifera; Rotaliida; Rotaliidae. The record is from RNAcentral.
GUGGAGCAUGUGGCUUAAUUUGACUCAACGCGGGAAAUCUUACCGGGUCCGGACACACUGAGGAUUGACAGAUAUAUACCCGUGAGUACUUCGGUGCUCGCGGGUUGAAAGAUGCUAGUUCUUUCAUGAUUAUGUGAUAGGUGGUGCAUGGCCGUUCUUAGUUCGUGGAGUGAUCUGUCUGCUUAAUUGCGUAUCAAUAAUAGAGACCUAGUAUACGCGUAGACUCAUGCGGUAGUGACCCCCCUUCACAGGGCGCGUGUCGCACGUAUGUUAUACGCACAGGUCUCCGAUAGCAACGAACGUGACCGUACUCUAUUGUUGCAGCGACAAUACCUUUCAACGGGUAUUACCGCUGCUUAGCAAGAUUCGUCUUGCAUUAAACUAUAGAGACCGCUGUUUCUUCUUUAAACCAGAGGAAGGAUACGGCAAUAACAGGUCU